RNAcentral lists this long non-coding RNA (405 nucleotides) under Gossypium barbadense (sea-island cotton). RNAcentral describes it as "long non-coding RNA (GBAR_LNC001774)". The record is from RNAcentral. Lineage: Eukaryota; Viridiplantae; Streptophyta; Magnoliopsida; Malvales; Malvaceae.
AUUACAGUAGCAAUGGUGGGAGCAUGUUUGUUGCCGACAUAUGGUUUGAACUGUUUGGUGAACUCUUUGUUGUAUUUGUUGAUGUAAACUUUCGAGGUUGUCGAGAUUCUCUCCAGGUCCGGUAUAAGUGUUUGCUGGAACUUAGCCGGUAGAUCCCGCAACUCCGACACUAAAUCCGAUUCAUCAUCGUCGUCGACCCAACUGGGUUGCUUCUUUUGUUGUUUCUGAAUCUGGGCUGUUGUCGGUUUCUUUUCAGGUUUUGAAGAUGGAACCGGUGUUUUCGUGGUUGUUUUGUUCUUGGGAGAGCUUAAUUUGAGCAGAUCCGAAGCUUUUGGUGUUGUGGAAUUCAGUUUCUUCACCUUGGAAGUUGAAUUAAGCUUCUUGGGAAUGGAACUCGACACCGUU